RNAcentral lists this ribosomal RNA (254 nucleotides) under uncultured bacterium. Its description in RNAcentral is "partial 16S ribosomal RNA". It matches the Rfam family "Bacterial small subunit ribosomal RNA", at positions 524 to 776 of the family's 1533-position model. The record is from RNAcentral.
UACGAAGGGGGCUAGCGUUGUUCGGAAUCACUGGGCGUAAAGCGCACGCAGGCGGAUCGUUAAGUCAGGGGUGAAAUCCCGAGGCUCAACCUCGGAACUGCCUUUGAUACUGGCGAUCUUUGAGUCCGGGAGAGGUGAGUGGAACUCCGAGUGUAGAGGUGAAAUUCGUAGAUAUUCGGAAGAACACCGGUGGCGAAGGCGGCCCACUGGCUCGAUACUGACGCUGAGGUGCGAAAGCGUGGGGAGCAAACAGG